Molecule: ribosomal RNA, 628 nt
Filed under: uncultured bacterium
Lineage: Bacteria
Description: bacterial SSU rRNA
Rfam family: Bacterial small subunit ribosomal RNA
Source: RNAcentral
CCUACGGGAGGCAGCAGUGGGGAAUAUUGGACAAUGGGCGCAAGCCUGAUCCAGCCAUACCGCGUGGGUGAAGAAGGCCUUCGGGUUGUAAAGCCCUUUUGUUGGGAAAGAAAAGCAGUCGAUUAAUACUCGGUUGUUCUGACGGUACCCAAAGAAUAAGCACCGGCUAACUUCGUGCCAGCAGCCGCGGUAAUACGAAGGGUGCAAGCGUUACUCGGAAUUACUGGGCGUAAAGCGUGCGUAGGUGGUUGUUUAAGUCUGUUGUGAAAGCCCUGGGCUCAACCUGGGAAUUGCAGUGGAUACUGGGCGACUAGAGUGUGGUAGAGGGUAGUGGAAUUCCCGGUGUAGCAGUGAAAUGCGUAGAGAUCGGGAGGAACAUCCAUGGCGAAGGCAGCUACCUGGACCAACACUGACACUGAGGCACGAAAGCGUGGGGAGCAAACAGGAUUAGAUACCCUGGUAGUCCACGCCCUAAACGAUGCGAACUGGAUGUUGGGUGCAAUUUGGCACGCAGUAUCGAAGCUAACGCGUUAAGUUCGCCGCCUGGGGAGUACGGUCGCAAGACGUUGAACUACAAAGAAGUAAGUUAGACGGNGNGAGAGCGACGACGACGACGACGGAGGAGGAG